CUCUGUUCACGGAAAGGGCCUGGGAGCUGCAACACCUCAACAGCAACAAGCACACCUGCUACCUAGAACUUGGUUUCUAAAAACCAUCCUCCUCUAAAAGGAAACAGAGCUCUUUGAAGAAAUGAGACAGAUCUCAUUAUGUUGCCCAGGGUGAUCCUUGAUCUCCUGGCCUCAAGUGAUCCUCCAACCUUGGUCUCCCAAAGUGCUGGGAUUACAGAUGUGAACUACCACACCCAGUCAACGUGCAGAAGGUUUUCAGUUUGAUGUAGUCUGAUGUAGUCUCAUGUAUUUAUCCUUGUUGUUGUUGCCUGAGCUUUUGGUGUGAUAUCCAAAAAUAUCAUUGCCAAGAUCAAUAUCAAGAAACUUUCCCCCUAUGUUUCUUACAGAAAUUUUAUGGUUUCAGAUUUUUCAUCCAUUUUGAGUAUAUUUUUGUGUAUGAUGUAAGAUAAGGGUCCAGUCUCCCCAGUGUUGGAUAUCCAAUUUUCAUAACACCAUUUAUUGAAGAGAUUAUUCUUUCUCCACUGUGUUUUCUUGAUGUCCUUGUCAAAAACUAGUUAACUUUUAUAUGCUUGGGUUUAUUUCUGGGCUCUAUUCUGUU
This 598-nucleotide long non-coding RNA is filed under the name Pan troglodytes (chimpanzee). RNAcentral describes it as "lincRNA". Lineage: Eukaryota; Metazoa; Chordata; Mammalia; Primates; Hominidae. The record is from RNAcentral.